AUACUUACCUGGCAAGGGAGACACCGUGAUCACCAAGGCGGUUCACCCAGGGCGAGGCUCAGCCAUUGCACUCCGGCUGUGCUGACCUCUGCGAAUUUCCCAAAUGUGGAAAUCUCGAUUGCAUAAUUUCUGGUAGUGGGGGACUGCGUUCGCGCUCUCCCCUG
Small nuclear RNA from Esox lucius (northern pike), 164 nucleotides. Its record names the gene U1. It matches the Rfam family "U1 spliceosomal RNA". Rfam says of the family: U1 is a small nuclear RNA (snRNA) component of the spliceosome (involved in pre-mRNA splicing). The record is from Ensembl. NCBI's taxonomy places the organism in Eukaryota, Metazoa, Chordata, Actinopteri, Esociformes, Esocidae.